Micropterus dolomieu (smallmouth bass) is the source of this 272-nucleotide long non-coding RNA. RefSeq lists it as uncharacterized. The record is from RefSeq and is a predicted model, not a curated record. The transcript is spliced from 3 exons. NCBI's taxonomy places the organism in Eukaryota, Metazoa, Chordata, Actinopteri, Centrarchiformes, Centrarchidae.
GAUAGUUCCCGGAAGUCCUAGGCGGGCAAUUGAAAAUGAACGAGAGAAACGGCAAAACGUUGAGUUUCAGAGACUGAGGAAAGAAGAAAUAUAGAGACUAAGAAGUGAAGAAAGAAGGGAUGCAGACACUGACAGAAGUUCCACUACGCUGCUAGCAUUUGAUACUAACUUCCGGGAACUAUUCAGACGCUCCAUGAUCCGCCAUUGCUGUGAAAAACUGUUCCAUUGGAGUGAACGGAGAUGACGCGACUCUCUCUUUAAAGGACUGCUGG